UGCAGUGUGUUCUCCCCAUGGAAUGUGCUCCUGAUAAGAAGUGCCAAGAAAUUAUCAUUAAAAAGGGAUCCAUAGUCUAAGGAUAGGGGAGGGAGUUGCAGAUGUUGGGGUUCGAAUGCCGGUUCUGCUAGAAGUCGCUUUUUAAGGUUAGUUGUGUGAACCAACUGAGCUAAAUACCAGGUUCAUAUUACUGAUGGUUUGUUUAUUCCUCUAUUUGCCAAUGAAGUGGGAAAAAAAAAGUGAUUAGUAGUAUUCAUUCUGUUCCACUCCCACCCUAUAGCUUUUAAUCAUACCUUGUUCAUGUUAAUUCCACAUGUUUGUAUACACUAACAGGUUAAUAAUAGAUAUAGAUUUUGACUAGUUGAUGUAUCCGUGUUAGUGUUUUACCUAAUAGGGUUGUCAUGUCCAACACAUCCAAGCCUCUUGAUCGGAAAUAAGUGAGAGAAGCUUCCCAGGAGAUGGAUGGUGAAGGGAGAUCAACGGAGUCCUUGGUCGAUGUCAUCCCGUCUCUUCUCCCUGUAUAUACGGGAUAAGACG
This 537-nucleotide long non-coding RNA is filed under the name Gossypium raimondii (Peruvian cotton). RNAcentral describes it as "long non-coding RNA (GRAI_LNC003733)". Lineage: Eukaryota; Viridiplantae; Streptophyta; Magnoliopsida; Malvales; Malvaceae. The record is from RNAcentral.